GGUUGGUUAGUGUAGUGGUUAUCACGUUUCCUUUACAUAUAUCAUGCUCUCAACCUCUCCCUGGAGAGUUUGGCAGACAAUUAUGUAAACCGGAAAAGGCCGCGAGUUCGAUCCUCGCACCGAUCA
Molecule: non-coding RNA, 126 nt
Organism: Delphinella strobiligena
Lineage: Eukaryota; Fungi; Ascomycota; Dothideomycetes; Dothideales; Dothioraceae
Source: the annotation of a GenBank genome assembly